CCCAAGAAAUGCAUCCGAAAUUGCUGAGCGUGAGUACUUAAGAGGAUCGCGGAAUUCCCGGUGUAGAGGUGAAAUUCGUAGAUAUCGGGAGGAACACCAGUGGCGAAGGCGGCGAUCUGGGAAGAUACUGACGCUGAGGUGCGAAAGCGUGGGGGAGCAAACAGGAUUAGAUACCCUGGUAGUCCACGCCGUAAACGAUGAGUGCUAGAUGCUGUGGGUAUUGACCCCCGCGGUGUCGCAGCCAACGCGUUAAGCACUCCGCCUGGGGAGUACGGCCGCAAGGCUAAAACUCAAAGGAAUUGACGGGGGCCCGCACAAGCGGUGGAGCAUGUGGUUCAAUUCGACGCAACGCGCAGAACCUUACCUGGGUUAAAUCCACUCGAACCUUGCAGAGAUGCAGGGGUGCCUUU
RNAcentral lists this ribosomal RNA (410 nucleotides) under uncultured bacterium. Its description in RNAcentral is "bacterial SSU rRNA". It matches the Rfam family "Bacterial small subunit ribosomal RNA", at positions 613 to 1021 of the family's 1533-position model. The record is from RNAcentral.